AUUGAACGCUGGCGGCAUGCCUUACACAUGCAAGUCGAACGGCAGCGGACCUUCGGGUGCCGGCGAGUGGCGAACGGGUGAGUAAUAUAUCGGAACGUACCUUUCAGUGGGGGAUAACGUAGCGAAAGUUACGCUAAUACCGCAUAUUCUGUGAGCAGGAAAGCAGGGGAUCGCGAGACCUUGCGCUGAUUGAGCGGCCGAUAUCAGAUUAGCUAGUUGGUGAGGUAAAGGCUCACCAAGGCGACGAUCUGUAGCGGGUCUGAGAGGAUGAUCCGCCACACUGGAACUGAGACACGGUCCAGACUCCUACGGGAGGCAGCAGUGGGGAAUUUUGGACAAUGGGCGCAAGCCUGAUCCAGCCAUGCCGCGUGAGUGAAGAAGGCCUCGGUUGUAAG
RNAcentral lists this ribosomal RNA (395 nucleotides) under uncultured bacterium. Its description in RNAcentral is "bacterial SSU rRNA". It matches the Rfam family "Bacterial small subunit ribosomal RNA", at positions 30 to 429 of the family's 1533-position model. The record is from RNAcentral.